AAUUAUUUAGUUUAAUAAAAACAAUAUAUUUUCAGUAUAGAAAUAAAUUAAGUUUAAUAAUUU
RNAcentral lists this transfer RNA (63 nucleotides) under Bemisia tabaci. Its description in RNAcentral is "tRNA-Glu". The record is from RNAcentral. Lineage: Eukaryota; Metazoa; Arthropoda; Insecta; Hemiptera; Aleyrodidae.